GGGAGUGGAUCGGUGCUGGUGUGCCGCCCGGUCUUCAAAGCCGGUUAGGGCCUCGUGAACAGCGUGGGCCGGUGGGUUCGAUUCCCAUGCACUCCCGCCA
Molecule: transfer RNA, 100 nt
Filed under: Planctomycetota bacterium
Lineage: Bacteria; Pseudomonadati; Planctomycetota
Description: tRNA-Sec
Rfam family: Selenocysteine transfer RNA
Source: RNAcentral